GACGAACGCUGGCGGCGUGCUUAACACAUGCAAGUCGAACGGAAAGGCCCUGCUUUUGUGGGGUGCUCGAGUGGCGAACGGGUGAGUAACACGUGAGUAACCUGCCCUUGACUUUGGGAUAGCUUCAGGAAACUGGGGCUAAUACCGGAUAGGAGCUCCUGCUGCAUGGUGGGGGUUGGAAAGUUUCGGCGGUUGGGGAUGGAUUCGCGGCUUAUCAGCUUGUUGGUGGGGUAGUGGCUUACCAAGGCUUUGACGGGUAGCCGGCCUGAGAGGGUGACCGGCCACAUUGGGACUGAGAUACGGCCCAGACUCCUACGGGAGGCAGCAGUGGGGAAUAUUGCACAAUGGGCGGAAGCCUGAUGCAGCAACGCCGCGUGCGGGAUGACGGCCUUCGGGUUGUAAACCGCUUUCGCCUGUGACGAAGCGUGAGUGACGGUAAUGGGUAAAGAAGCACCGGCUAACUACGUG
Molecule: ribosomal RNA, 468 nt
Filed under: uncultured bacterium
Lineage: Bacteria
Description: partial 16S ribosomal RNA
Rfam family: Bacterial small subunit ribosomal RNA
Source: RNAcentral